GACAGAGGGGGCAAGCGUUGUCCGGAAUUACUGGGCGUAAAGCGCACGCAGGCGGCCCGGCAAGUGGUGUGUGACAGCGAACGGCUUAACCGUCCGAGGCCAUGCCAGACUGCCGAGCUUGAGCCGUGCAGAGGCCAGUGGAAUUGCCGGUGUAGGAGUGACAUCCGUAGAGACCGGCAGGAACACCGAUGGGGAAGCCAGCUGGCUGGGCACGCGCUGACGCUCAGGUGCGAUAGCGUGGGGAGCAAACCGG
This 253-nucleotide ribosomal RNA is filed under the name uncultured bacterium. Its description in RNAcentral is "partial 16S ribosomal RNA". It matches the Rfam family "Bacterial small subunit ribosomal RNA", at positions 524 to 776 of the family's 1533-position model. The record is from RNAcentral.